RNAcentral lists this ribosomal RNA (857 nucleotides) under uncultured bacterium. Its description in RNAcentral is "bacterial SSU rRNA". It matches the Rfam family "Bacterial small subunit ribosomal RNA", at positions 9 to 860 of the family's 1533-position model. The record is from RNAcentral.
GAGUUUGAUCAUGGCUCAGGAUGAACGCUAGCGGCAGGCCUAACACAUGCAAGUCGAGGGGUAACAGAGAGAAGCUUGCUUUUCUGCUGACGACCGGCGCACGGGUGCGUAACGCGUAUACAAUCUGCCUUAUACAGAGGGAUAGCCUUUAGAAAUGAAGAUUAAUACCUUAUAGUCUAUUUUUAUAGCAUUAUAUAAAUAGUAAAGCUUCGGUGGUAUAAGAUGAGUAUGCGUCCUAUUAGUUAGUUGGUAAGGUAACGGCUUACCAAGACAACGAUAGGUAGGGGCCCUGAGAGGGGGAUCCCCCACACUGGUACUGAGACACGGACCAGACUCCUACGGGAGGCAGCAGUGAGGAAUAUUGGACGAUGGAGGCAACUCUGAUCCAGCCAUGCCGCGUGCAGGAAGACGGCCCUAUGGGUUGUAAACUGCUUUUAUAUAGGAAGAAACCUUUUCACGUGUGAGAAGCUGACGGUACUAUAAGAAUAAGGACCGGCUAACUCCGUGCCAGCAGCCGCGGUAAUACGGAGGGUCCGAGCGUUAUCCGGAAUCAUUGGGUUUAAAGGGUCCGUAGGCGGGAAUCUAAGUCAGUGGUGAAAUCUUGCAGCUCAACUGUAAAAUUGCCAUUGAUACUGGAUUUCUUGAAUUAGUGUGAAGUGGUUAGAAUGUGUAGUGUAGCGGUGAAAUGCAUAGAUAUUACACAGAAUACCAAUUGCGAAGGCAGAUCACUAACACUAUAUUGACGCUGAGGGACGAAAGCGUGGGGAGCGAACAGGAUUAGAUACCCUGGUAGUCCACGCCGUAAACGAUGGAUACUAGCUGUUCGAUCUUCGGAUUGAGUGGCUAAGCGAAAGUGA